GUAGCCGGCCUGAGAGGGCGACCGGCCACACUGGGACUGAGACACGGCCCAGACUCCUACGGGAGGCAGCAGUGGGGAAUAUUGCACAAUGGGCGAAAGCCUGAUGCAGCGACGCCGCGUGAGGGAUGACGGCCUUCGGGUUGUAAACCUCUUUCAGCAGGGAAGAAGCGAAAGUGACGGUACCUGCAGAAGAAGCGCCGGCUAACUACGUGCCAGCAGCCGCGGUAAUACGUAGGGCGCAAGCGUUGUCCGGAAUUAUUGGGCGUAAAGAGCUCGUAGGCGGCUUGUCACGUCGGUUGUGAAAGCCCGGGGCUUAACCCCGGGUCUGCAGUCGAUACGGGCAGGCUAGAGUUCGGUAGGGGAGAUCGGAAUUCCUGGUGUAGCGGUGAAAUGCGCAGAUAUCAGGAGGAACACCGGUGGCGAAGGCGGAUCUCUGGGCCGAUACUGACGCUGAGGAGCGAAAGCGUGGGGAGCGAACAGGAUUAGAUACCCUGGUAGUCCACGCCGUAAACGGUGGGCACUAGGUGUGGGCAACAUUCCACGUUGUCCGUGCCGCAGCUAACGCAUUAAG
RNAcentral lists this ribosomal RNA (571 nucleotides) under Streptomyces coelicolor. Its description in RNAcentral is "bacterial SSU rRNA". It matches the Rfam family "Bacterial small subunit ribosomal RNA", at positions 283 to 864 of the family's 1533-position model. Lineage: Bacteria; Bacillati; Actinomycetota; Actinomycetes; Kitasatosporales; Streptomycetaceae. The record is from RNAcentral.